Molecule: long non-coding RNA, 3868 nt
Filed under: Bos indicus x Bos taurus (hybrid cattle)
Lineage: Eukaryota; Metazoa; Chordata; Mammalia; Artiodactyla; Bovidae
Description: lncRNA (ENSBIXG00000016460.1)
Source: RNAcentral
GUCCUGGGCAAAUAAGCAGAACCCUGCUCAGGGGAAGCAAGACACGUUUCUGGGGCAGGAGGCACCAGCACAGAGUCGUCGACUCUAGAAAGUCCCGGAAGGGUGUGUGGGAAAGACUCUGUGUCUCCAAUCAUUGGUAGAUUUCAUUAUUUUCAGUGUCAUUUCUAAGAGUGGCGGUCUUGAUUGUGCAUCUCAUGGAAGGUAGAAAGCGUUCAUUUGUUUACCCGCCGAGCUUGGUCAUGGGUGAUGAUUAGGUUAGCUCAGCCUUUGUGUUCAUCCAGGCCUGACUGUGUUUUGAGAGCGAGCCAAGGAUGGUGUUAAGUGUGUGUGCAGAAAGAGGCAGCGUUGUUUUAUUUAUUUUUAUUGAUAAACAUUUUUAUAGAGCAUGCAACCUUUAUCAAAAAUCUAUCUGAUUUUAUCAGUUAACAAAUUUUGUUGUUGUUCAGUUGCUAAGUCCUGUCCGACUCUUCGCAAUCCCAUGGACUACAGCACACCAGGCCUCCCUGUCCCUUGCUGUCCCCAGGAGGUUACCCGAGUUCAUGUCCACUGAACUGGUGAAGCUAUCCAACCAUCUCAUCCUGUGCCACUCUCUCCUCCUUUUGCCUUCAGUCCUUCCCAGCAUCAGGGUAUUUUCCAGUUGAGUCCAAAGUAACAGAUUUUACCAAGCAUCAAAUACCAAAGGGCUUUUACAGUUAAUUUCUUUUAAAAUUUGUUUGUGUUUUUACUUUAUUUUUAAACUUUUUCUUUUGUAUUGGGGUAUAGCUGAUUAGCAAUGUUGUGAUAGUUUCAGUUAAGCAGCGAAGGUACUCAGCCGCACAUACAUAUGUGUCCACUCUCCUCCAAACUCCCCUCCCACCCAGGUAGCACCAUUUUAAUGAGAGUGAACAUUCAAGGAGCAAUUACUUUGUACCUGAGCUAUUCACCUACCUGCUUCUCCUGUACCAGAUCACCUCCUCCCAGGAUCAACUGUCUGCAGAGGUGUCCUGAUCACCUCCUUCCAGGCAGGUUUAUAAACCACAGUGUGGAUGUUUCACCAGCAGGAAGAAACAGCUGCCAAGUCACACAUCGAGAGCCGGACAGAGGCCUCUUCCUGUGUGUGUGGAAAAACCACGAGCUCUGCAGUCAGAGAGGAUAUUGGAGGCCAGAGAGGGAAGAAUCCGGAGAGAGAAACGAGGUGAUGAGAGAAACACACAGGCAAGAAUCAGAACGUGACAAGAAGCUGAACGAUGGUGGAGGUGCUGCUGCAGGAGAAGGGAUGUAAGGAUCUGGCCUGGGUGGGGAGGGUCCUGUCUGUAUCAGAGACAGGGUAGCCUGAACCUCACCAUUGCCCUCUCCCAGCCCACCCACUGCUGGCUUCCCUGAACGGAGCAUCCAUUUCCUGCGGCUGCUGUCAUAAGUGACCAUAGGCUGGUUGACUUGAAAACGACCCAGAUGUACUCUCCCUCAGUUUAGGAGGGGCCUGUGUGUGUGCUCAGUCGCUCAGUCAUACCUGACUCCUGCAUCUGCUGCAUUGGCAGAAAGAUUCUUUACCACUGCACCAUCUGGGAAGCUCUCUCUUGGUUGUGGAGGCCAGAAGGUCAGCCAGGGUGUUGGCAGGCCACACUCCCGCCAUAGGCUCUAGAGGGGGCUCCGUCCUGGCCUCUCCCAACUUCUCGCAGCCCCGGGUGUUCCUGGGCCUGUGGCUGCCUCACUCCUGUCUCUGCCUCCAGUCGCCUCUUCUCCCUGCAUUUCUUAUAAGGACACCCGAUGUGGCUUUCUAGUCCAGCCCUACACAAUCUAGGAUGCUCUCAUCUUGAGAUCUUUAACUUAAAGACAUCUGCCAAGACCCCUUUUCCAGAUAAGGUCAUGCUGGCAGGUACUGGGGGACAUAUCUUUUGAGGGAUCACGAUUCACACACUGUGCCAUACAUUCCUUACUCACCUUGCCUGACAGCUCUUUUUGAGCCUGAAUAUACAAAAGAAAUGUGGGAAGUGAGACUGGGUUUACAGUUUAGAAACAGAGGCAAAGCAGAUGUUUGCAGAGCUUGAUGGAAAAUGGUGGGUGUGUUGGAGACGUGGAGAGAAAUACAGUAGAAUGGAAGCUUAAAGGGGCAAGAGAUACACCAGCUUGGCUUGGGGGCCAGCAAGGAAAAGGAGGCUCCUCAUAGCAGACCUGAUAUGUGAGUGGAUUUUGACAGACAGGAGGACAUGAACUUGUGGGACAGGGACAAUCUGGGCAGAAAAACUAGCCUCAGGGAGGCCCAGAGGCAGGAAGCAGGGGGUUCACAGGCAGUGCUAAGAACUAUCUGGAGUGAUGGGAGCACAGAUGAGUGGAUGGCCGAGGCAAGAGGGGAUGGUAGAGAGGGUGUCUGGGGACAGGAUAGGGUGCCUUGAAUGGGGUUCAGCCAGGGAAGCCUGCACAACAUUAUGAAUAUAAGGGCAUGGUAUAAAAACCUUGAUUUCUGAAGAUAGUACUUUUAUAUUUCAUAGAGUAAAAAUUAUUUUUUCAUAAACAGUAAAAAUUAUUUUAAGCUAUUUGAGAUGCAGUAGAGGCAGAAAGAGGCCUUUCUGGAGCUUCCUUUAACUGACUAAACGCAGACACUUCAGAGAAGUGAGAACCACCAUAGAUUCCUUCUUGGGUGUGUGUCUGAUCCCAGGAGUGAGACGAAGAGUAAACCUACCUCUGCAAACUCUCUUGUCUCCUGAAACCUAUUUGCUCUUUCCAUUGGAGACUUUUCCUUUUCCUCCCUUUCCUCUGGCAAGUUAGCUAUUUAAGCCCCAAAUCAUAACCACUGUUUUGAGUGCCUCAUCACGGAGCUCUCCCACAUGCACGCACAUUACAUGUGUAGAUAAAAGUAUGCUUCUCUUGCUCAUUGGGCUUUUGUCAACUUAAUUCACAGGCCCUUGGGCACAGAACGUAAGAGGAUAGAGGAAAAGUUAUUCCCACCCUACAGUUUAUAUAUCGUACGUGUGAAUUAAAAUGUAGACAGAGACUUAAGAUGGGAACACUGGUUCAUAGACUAUUAAAUAAUCCCGGCACGAUUAGCAGGGGAGAAAGGAGAGAUAAGUAUGUAUUUAGAGAGACUGCAGAGGCAGAUUCAAAAGGAUUUUGUAGAAGGAAGAGAGGGAGGGAGGUUAGAAAGGGACAGCAGAUAGCUGACAAGAACUCUGUGGCUCUGAGCCUGGAUGACCAGGUCCAUGAUGGUGCUGUUAUUAGAAUUAGGAAGUAAGAGAUAGAAAGAUCUUAAGAAAACAGGACAUGUUAAUGGAACCUGCGUGAAGCCUGGCAGAGAGCCUAAACUGGAGAUGAGGAUUGAGAUGAUUGUGUUGAGGAUCCUUAAAGGCAUGGGGUAAGAGAAAACUAUGUUAAAAAAAAAAAAAAAUGUGAGGUGGGGAGGGGCCUCAGAGGUGAUUUGGGGAAGAAGGAGGGAGUGAGGCCAGCUAGGGGUGGGGAGUUAAUCAAAGGUAGAGGUGGUGAAAGAGGAAAGGUCAGAACAUCCGUGGGGCUGGAGAUCAAACAGAGCAUCUUUCUUUGUAUCAAAAGUUGCAGAGAGGUAGAUAAGGAUGGAGCACAUUCCAUAAGAACCGGAAAGAAGGCUGUCAUUGGAGGAAGCAGAGUCAGGAGAGAGGUUAGGAGGCAGAGCUGAAUUCGGGGGUUGGAGAUCAUUCCUUCAAAGAAUCUUACUGGAGGGAAGAGCAUCCCAGGUGCUGAGAACAGGAAGUGCAAAGGCCCUGAGGCACAACUGCGUCUGGCGUGACGGGGAGACCACGAUGACAAGUCACUGGAGCAAAGCUGAGAGUGGGAAACUAAAGACCUGAUCCCACAGGUCCCGGGAAGACUGUAGGGAAUUUGGAAUAAAGUAUGUUGGAAAGUGAGUGGAAGAAGAAAU